This 253-nucleotide ribosomal RNA is filed under the name uncultured bacterium. RNAcentral's name for it is "partial 16S ribosomal RNA". It matches the Rfam family "Bacterial small subunit ribosomal RNA", at positions 524 to 776 of the family's 1533-position model. The record is from RNAcentral.
UACAGAGACUGCGAGCGUUAUUCGGAUUCACUGGGCGUAAAGGGUGCGCAGGCGGCCAUGUGUGUGAGGCGUGAAAGCCCGGGGCUCAACCCCGGAGGUGCGGCCGAAACUGAUGUGCUGGAGGCCGGAAGAGGAGGGUGGAAUACCCAGUGUAGAGGUGAAAUUCGUAGAUAUCGGGAGGAACACCAGUGGCGAAGGCGGCGACCUGGGCAGAUACUGACACUGAGGUGCGAAAGCGUGGGGAGCAAACAGG